Molecule: long non-coding RNA, 675 nt
Filed under: Equus caballus (horse)
Lineage: Eukaryota; Metazoa; Chordata; Mammalia; Perissodactyla; Equidae
Description: lncRNA (ENSECAG00000056284.1)
Source: RNAcentral
AAGACAGCUGUCUGCCAGCCAGGAAGCAGGCCCUCGCCAAGAACCGAAUCUGCUGGCACCUUGAUCUUGGACUUCCCAGUGUCUAGAACUGCCGACCUUCCUCUGAGCUGUCAGUGCAGCCACACUUGUCCCUCCACGUGCACCCCCUCCUUUCUCCUUUGGGUCCAGCUCUGGUGGGUCUGCUGAGGGAGAGAUUAAGAGCUGGAGGAAAGUUACCUUAGCAACAGGAAACAGGAUGCAAAGCGCCGCCUACCGUGGCCUCCAUCCAUCCCUGGAGAGGCGGGAAGAACAGUGGGAGCGCUGGCCUAGAGGGCAGGAGGCCGUGUCCCUGCCUGGGUGCUGCUGCUCUCUGGCUGGCUGCUCCCUGUAAGUGCCUCCUCCCUGGGCCUGUUCUGGACAGAAUAGGGGCCGAGUGCUCUCUGGAUGGGUCAAGGAUGCUGUCCAGGAGCAUAGUCCUCUGGGGAGAAGAUCCUCCUGUUUCUGUUCUCGGUGGCUCCGGGAGCGAGAACUGUGCCAGGGAGCAAGUAUAUGCCAGCCAGUCUUCUGUGACUUAACUUGUCACUCGCCACCUGGGGUGCAGAAAUGUCUGACCAAGCAGACAAUCGAGCUCCAUGGAGGCUGGCACUUGGCAGCACCUGGCCUACCAGGAUGGGGGUUUCCUCAGCUGGCGUAGGA